RNAcentral lists this long non-coding RNA (275 nucleotides) under Spirodela polyrhiza (greater duckweed). Its description in RNAcentral is "long non-coding RNA (SPOL_LNC000472)". Lineage: Eukaryota; Viridiplantae; Streptophyta; Magnoliopsida; Alismatales; Araceae. The record is from RNAcentral.
CCUAUUUCUAUUUCUAUUAAUGAUAUUAAAAAAAUACAUAAUUUUCAUAAAUGAGGAUCUCCUUGUAGGGUUUUUCAGAUUUUUGUUAAUUGAAACUUUCAUAGAUAUGAGUCUAUAAUGAACUUGUAUGACUUAUAAGGAACUCAAUGUUAUACUCUUAUAAUUAUAUCUGUACUACUAAGUUCUAGUGAUAGAUAGUUUUGGAUCACCUUUACCCUUUACAUGUAUGUCACUCUCCUGCAAAUAUAUCUACUUUUUACUAUGUUCCCGUUAGC